UGGGGAAUAUUGCACAAUGGGCGCAAGCCUGAUGCAGCCAUGCCGCGUGUAUGAAGAAGGCCUUCGGGUUGUAAAGUACUUUCAGCGGGGAGGAAGGGAGUAAAGUUAAUACCUUUGCUCAUUGACGUUACCCGCAGAAGAAGCACCGGCUAACUCCGUGCCAGCAGCCGCGGUAAUACGGAGGGUGCAAGCGUUAAUCGGAAUUACUGGGCGUAAAGCGCACGCAGGCGGUUUGUUAAGUCAGAUGUGAAAUCCCCGGGCUCAACCUGGGAACUGCAUCUGAUACUGGCAAGCUUGAGUCUCGUAGAGGGGGGUAGAAUUCCAGGUGUAGCGGUGAAAUGCGUAGAGAUCUGGAGGAAUACCGGUGGCGAAGGCGGCCCCCUGGACGAAGACUGACGCUCAGGUGCGAAAGUGUGGGGAGCAAACA
Molecule: ribosomal RNA, 427 nt
Filed under: uncultured bacterium
Lineage: Bacteria
Description: partial 16S ribosomal RNA
Rfam family: Bacterial small subunit ribosomal RNA
Source: RNAcentral